This is a long non-coding RNA of Salarias fasciatus (jewelled blenny), 406 nucleotides long. RefSeq lists it as uncharacterized. The transcript is spliced from 3 exons. The record is from RefSeq and is a predicted model, not a curated record. Lineage: Eukaryota; Metazoa; Chordata; Actinopteri; Blenniiformes; Blenniidae.
CCGGCGGCAGAAGAAGGAGGUGAAGGAGCAGCACGUGAAGGAGGUGCUCGGCCAGUGCACCCACAUCCACCAGAGGCGCGAGGAGAUGGCCGACAAGAUCCAGAAGAUCUCCGGCCAGACGCAGCAGCUGAGGGCCGAGAUCAAGAGCCUGAGGGACGUCUGCGGCGAGGAGACGGAGAAAGCCCAGGCCAUCUACAACACCCUGUCCGCUGCCGUGGACAAGCUCCACCAGCGCAUCCAGGCUCACUCCAGAGACCUGAAGCUCGCCGCCGCCAAGAUGUCUGCAAACAUCUGAGCCUGUUUACUGUUCUCAUAUCUUCUCACUUUCACAGCCUGAUCAGACCAGGGGGGUUCCACAGUCUGACAGCUCAUCUGUUUAAUGCUGUUUUGUCUUCUGUUUAAUGAU